UUAAUUAUUAAGUUGCAAAGUCGAAAAAGUUGGUGCACUUUGGUGAAUCACAUGUCUAACACCUAACCUACUGACUUUCAUUACUAUUCUUUUCCUCCAAACCUUAUAAGGAGCUUGACGUCACGUAGCUUGUAGGCUGAGUCACUUAAUUUCGAUUACAUGAAUACAAGUCCUGAAUUGUCGUAUAAAGCUUCUUUUAAAAAGCUGGUCAAAAAUCUUGAUUUGGUCGAUCAUAAAUUUUAGGAUAUUAUCUGAAUGUGCUCAUGGAUCAACCUCAACACCACUUUCAAGUUGGCAUUGAUGUAUUCCUUAUUUCUCGAAACCUUGUACAUGGACUGAUUAUUAACCAAAGCUAAAAAAUAAUUUCAUAAGCAAGUAGAAGUGUAGAACAUAAAUAUUUGUAUCUCGCAUACAUUACAUUAAUUAAUUUUUAAUGUCAAGGAUAUCGAAAGUAAAUACUUUUAGAAGUAUAUAUGAUCUUAUUCUGUAAGACACAAAACUGACAUAAAAUACAGACAUAAAACUCCAUCAGAAGAACUGAACAAUACUAUGGAUGUGCGUUAGUAUUUCUAGGGAGGUAAAAAAGGAGGGAGGGAGGAAGAAAGAUAAGUUGUACUUGCACAUGUGGCUACAUAACAUGGAAAACAAAUAAGACAAAAUGAUACACUAAUCCACAAACAGCAAAAAUAUAAGUUCUGAAUAUACAGAAAAAUAAUGAUAAAUCUAAAAGUAAAAGAAGAAAAGGCAUUUACAAAUAUUCCAGAUGUUAUGCGUGUCAAGGAAAAAAGUAAAUGUAAGUAACAAUAAAAUAUGUCUAGAGGACUCAAAAUACAACCUGAAAAGGUUAUAACUUCAGUAAUUGAGAAGGAGAACUAUCAAAAGAGAGAUAUUGUACUUAUAAGGUAAGGUAGAGAAGGUUUCAGAGGAUGAUAACUUCAAUAAUUGAGAAAAUAUAAGGAAAACUAUCAAGAGAGAAGUGGUAUUCAUAAGAUGAGCUAGAUAAGUAUUUUACUCACGGAAGGUGAUCCCACUAAGUUCAAGUUAUAACAGUACACAUGCCAACUUUUUUGAGAAUGAUCAGUACACUUGCCAACUUUUAGUUUACUUUUAAUGAUUUUAAAUGGAGAAGAAAGAAGUAUUCAUACAUACAUUAUUCUAAACUCAAUCACUGAAAUAAACAAGUGGAUAUUUUUAGUUUUUAGCCAUAAAAAAAAGAACAUGGAGACAAUUAAUGAGUUGACUCUAAGUCAUAUGAACUUUGUAUUUAGGUCGUAUUCAACUGUAAAUUACCUUUUCUCUAAAUGUUUGAAAAUUUUGAGCUGAUUGUGUUCUUCUCCGCCAUAUGUGAUUUCUGUAAUUGAGAAUAGCAAAUCAUUAGACAUGUAGUUACAACUUGAACAUCAAUUAAAAAUGAAAUAACAAGUAAAUAGUCAAUUCAAUUUAAACCAAAGUGCUAUUGUAAUCAUUCGCGACAUUAUCUCUUCCUAGAUCUUUUUGCUAUAUUAAAAGAAUAACAAUCUUAACUCCAUAAAUUAUUAUUCUGUAUUUUUGUCGAAAAUCAUGAACUUGAAUUACAACUUGUUGUAGUACCAAAUAUCGCAACAUGUUAUUCUUUUGCAUAACUGAUUGUUCAAUUAUAACCAGUAUGAUUUGAAUAUAUUGUCAUAGACAAAUGUCAAUAGGUUAACCAUAUUUUUUAAAAAGAAAAGAGAGAACAAGGCAUAAAACCAUUUAUUUUACUUUUCAAUAUCUUAUGUGAGCAUUGGUUAUGUCGCCGAUAAGCUAAAUUAUAGUUGAAAUAUGACAGGCACAUCCUACAAGUUCAAAUAGGUAGACAUCGUACCACUGAAUCCAUGAUUUUUGUUUGGUAAGAAUGAAUACUCUGAGGUGUGAAUUGAAAAUAAGUACUCAUAUUGAAAUGCAGUAUGAAGUUCUUAAUUUAACAACAAUCGUGAUAGGUAAGGUAACUGAUCCAUAAUGACUUAUUCUUGCUAUUCACAUGGCAGCCACUGAAGCAGGCAAAUGGCGUAAAGAUAAACAACCCCCGCGCAGUCUCCUCAAAUUUUUUCAGUUAAACUAUAAAAAUGAUUCAUCAAAAACUAACCACUAAUUAUCACCUUUAUGAUCCUAAAAUCACAUACACUGCACUGACUAUGCAUUGAUAACCCACUAUGCAUAUUAUGGGAUUCCUAAAAAUAUUUUAAUAGUUAAAAUAAUAAAAUAAAAGAAUCAAAAGUACAAAAGCUACCAUUUCUAAUCAUGGGAUUAACCUUGAACCUCAUUCAAGAGGAGGUUGGAAGAAGAAUCAAAAUAGAAACAAUGAAAACACACGAAAAUUAGUGAGCGAAAGAACAGGACUAUAAGAGCAUAAAUGAGGAAUCAAUGUACAAUUUAGUCCGAUAAUGCAAACAAAAAUAUAAAAGAGGGUUAUAUAUCAAAAUUUUAAAUCAACAAUUAGUAAAUUUUCCAUGUUUUAAACCUUAAAAAAUUCAACGUUUCAAAGGGGUUAUACCUCAAAAUUAGCAGAGAAUCGACCUUCGACUGACCAACUAUCAUAAAUAAAAAAAGAAAAAAAUAACAUAUAAACCCUUCAAAAUAACAAUUGAAAGGGUAUACCUCAAUAUUUUCAUUCAGCAUUUCGAAAUCUCCAAGAAUACUCCAUCCUAGUAGACGAUUGCUGCUUCAAGAGUUCAUUAAGCAAGAAGCAGUAGACAAGUUUAUCCCAACUUGUGAAACACAUAAUUGUGUUCAAAGUCUGACUAGAGAUAAUAAAAAGCAAAAUUCCUAAAAGAAGAUUUGAAGUAUAAGAAAAGAUUAGUGAGAGAGGACUACUACUAAUGACAGACAAUUACGGCUUGAACUCGUAGCAAAUGGUAG
This 2877-nucleotide long non-coding RNA is filed under the name Nicotiana tabacum (common tobacco). RNAcentral's name for it is "long non-coding RNA (NTAB_LNC016148)". Lineage: Eukaryota; Viridiplantae; Streptophyta; Magnoliopsida; Solanales; Solanaceae. The record is from RNAcentral.